CCAACUGCAGUUCCUUGAAGGGAGGAGCUUCAGCAAUUUUCAAGACAGAGAAAAAGGUUCUUCAAUCAUAGGAGCAGUUUAUAUUCAAGUUUUCUUCAGAAGACUCACAAGAAAUUGAAAGAGAAAAGGAAGGUAUACAUUUGCCAGAAAAUUAGAAUGAGAGAGAUGGGGAAGGAAAAGGAAAUAUGGUCUUACAAAAACUGUGUCCCCAUGGCAAUGUGGCAGCAAAAACGAACCCCAAGACCUCCAGACAUUGUGUCAUUCUUGCAUCAGUGAUCAUAUCCAAUGGGAAAUGGUUUGCCAAUUGGCUGGCCAGAGAUACCUGGUCAAAUUCUGAAAGGAGCAGAAUUAAGGCAUGUAAUUAAUAGUUUUAAAAGAUGGAAAAUAUACAAAUGCUAAAAGAAAAGAGAAAUUCUUCUGUUAGGAGAAGAGCAAAGAAUGUGUUUUAUAAAACAACAUAGAGAAUUAUUGUUGAGAGAUUCUUCAUCUAGUUCUUUCUGUUUGUUAUAUAAUAAUGUAUACUGCCUUAAGAACAGAAAAUCAGAAUAGACAUGGAAUUUACUUAGUGUAAAUUCAGACUCCCUAGUUAGACCACAACGAGCUGGUCUUCUUUGAAGUCUACUCUAUUAGGAAUGACUAUUCUUCUCACUUAAUAGAUGUAAAUGGUAGACAUAAGACAGCACUAUAUGUGACUAUUGGGAUAGAACAUGUUCUUUUGGAUAUCUUCCUGGCUGUAGCUAUAAUUUGUCAGAUGGAAGGAGCUCAGCAUAUAAGAAACAGGAACGUUUAUGACCUAGAUUUAGUAAGUUUGAGUUAGGAAAUGCCGUUAUGCAAAUACCAUUUAGGGCUUUCGGUAAUCUGUGAGACUGUGAUUAUUCAUUUCAAAAACAGAAAGAAGUCAGAAAAUCUGAGUUACUAGUGUUAUAACUCAAAUAAGACAGACAUAGGCACUGCUUUUGCAGAGCUUAAAUUAUGGGGGUGGAUUUAAACAAGCAGAGAAGCUGAUCCAAUAGUGAAAUAAGAGCUACCAUGAGAGAAAUGUCAGGUAUCAUAGGAGAUAGUGUUAACCUGAAUAUACAAUGAGUUAUUCAAGAUGAAAGAAUAGAUAACAUUUGGAAAGGGGUGAGGACAAUGUGUGAG
RNAcentral lists this long non-coding RNA (1140 nucleotides) under Homo sapiens (human). RNAcentral describes it as "HSALNT0179666". The record is from RNAcentral. Lineage: Eukaryota; Metazoa; Chordata; Mammalia; Primates; Hominidae.